This is an unclassified non-coding RNA of Callithrix jacchus (white-tufted-ear marmoset), 296 nucleotides long. It matches the Rfam family "Metazoan signal recognition particle RNA". From Rfam's summary of the family: The signal recognition particle (SRP) is a universally conserved ribonucleoprotein. It is involved in the co-translational targeting of proteins to membranes. The record is from Ensembl. Lineage: Eukaryota; Metazoa; Chordata; Mammalia; Primates; Cebidae.
ACCAGGUGCAAUGGCACAUGCCUGUAGUCCCAGCUACUCGGGAGGCCUAGGUGGGAGGAUCACUUGAGCCCAGGAAUUCUGGGCUGUAGUGUGCUAUGCUGAUCAGGUGUCCGCACUAAGUUCAGAAUCAAUAUGGUGACCUCCUGGGAGUGAGGGACCCUGGGAGUGAGGAGGGGUGAACCGGUCCAGGGUGGAAACGGAGCAGGUCAAAACUCCUGUGCUGAUCAGUAGUGGGAUCAUGCCUGUGAAUAACCACUGCAUUCCAGCCUGGGCAACAUAGCCAGACUCUGUCUCUC